AUUUCAGGUCAUUCCAUUCCACUCAAACAAUUUGUGUAGAUUGAAUAUUAUAUCAAUUUAUGCCAGUCACAUUGUUUUAGUUUACUUUUACACCAGGUAUUAACAGAAGAUAUAUAAAACUCACAAGAGAGUCUUGUAAAUUGUCUUUUGCUUCAUUGCAUUUCUCCUUGUAAUAUCUAGGAAAUUAGAGGCUGCUGCAUCUAAAUGUCUGAUGUGUCUUCUGUGCAACAGGUGCUGUUGGCCAUCAAGGGAGAAGAAAAGGAGAAGAAAUGGUGGAGGAAAGACAAGAGAAGGAGGAGGAGGCUAAGAGUGCAGCUAAUAUUUUAAGAUAAUCCUCUUGACCUGUUCUCUUCUUCUUAUGUAAACUCGGUGCUGUUCGCUUGCAGCUAUUGCCGCACACACUGACAGGAGGGGCGCUAUUCUGCAACCAGACAUAAAUACAAUCAUCGCGCCACGCAAACGCCCAGAAGUGUCCCCUUUUUUCCUCUGUUUUUGCAGAACAUAUAUUUAAGAGAAAAAUACAUCCGCUACCAGAUGAGAAGGGAUGGGAAGGUCAGCCCAGAGGUCAGCGGACAUGGUUGUUUUCACACCCACUUUACAGCCGUGUCUGCAUUCCUGUCCUGAACCAGGAUGAGAGCAGUUCAGGAGUGUGACUGAAAAAUUGCCAAGAUGAGCCUGCGCUUUUAGAUUCUUCAUGGGGCCUUUACGUAUCACCACCACAGGAGAUGAGUGAUGAAAAUGGAAGAAUAUCUCACAGAUCCCCAGAGCCUGACACUGGGCCACUUUACACGCACGGUGUUGGUAAAGCUCUCAUUCACACAUUUUCAGCAGUAUGGGAGAAGAAGAAAAGACCACCCUUUCUGAAGCACAGCAAUCAGGGGCCUUUCAGAAGACUUCUGUCUCUGUUUUAAUUUCCCCCCAAAACACAUCUGUGCUCACACUGAACUCACCAGGAUAUGUGCACUCAGAUCUCUUUGUGAAUGCACAAAUACUUCCUGACAGGUAUGCACGUGGGUGUGUGCUCCAAAAUAAAAAACAGUCCUGGAAUACAAGUCUGCUGGAAGUGGAGCAAUCAAGAAGAGAAACAAUGCAAACAGAUGGAGUUGUUUCUUCCAGCGAGAAACCCGCAUCCAGACAUAACAGCUCACACAGAUGUCCAUAGUUUCAAAGGUUGCUAUCAAAGCAUCUAAUAGCAGCACACUCUACCAUUAACAAGGCAGAUGGUCUUCAACGGUUUUGUUUCUUAGGCUGGCAAACAAACUAUCAUAUGUGACCGCCCACACAGUUUCACCACAUAUUACAGCUUAAUAUUCAUGCACCUGUUUUUAGUAAAAACUCUUUGCUGAAAGAGAGAAUUUGUUUCUAUCUCUAUGAAACCAUUAUCUCAAUGAAACUUCCUGGCACUAACUUUAGCUUUGAACUCAAAACUUUGUUAUUUGGUAUACAUGUCCACAUGUCUUGACUUUUGUAAAUCCAAACAGUACAUACACAUAUACUGUAGUGCAAUCCCAGUUUUAAGUCUAAACUAGGGACGGGUAGUUAGAGUCCUUGAGGGUCAGAAUGCUGCAUGUUUCAGAUGUUCAUUCGUUCCUGCAGAACUUACUGGGUAUUCAAACCUCUGUGGCUCUGUAUUUAAAAAGUUAUUCUUCAACAUUUCAACUCAGGAUAUAGCUGUUAAUUACUACAUUUCAGAAAACAAUGUCAGUUCCGCAGGCCACACCGUGUAAUAAAGCAAAGAAAUCCUUUGAUGGAACCUGUUUGAUAAAAUGAAAUAGGGUAAAAAGGUCUCAAAAGCAAAACAUAAUGCCUGGAUCUAAAUAAAUCAAGACCAGGUGAGAAACAGAGAAACAUUUACAUCCAUUAGUCUGAUAAGGGUUACAAAGUCAUUUCUUAGACUGCGGGACUCCAGUGAGCCACAGGAAGAGAAAUGACCCACAAAUGGAGAGAAGAUAGAACAGUGGAGAACAUUAUAAGGAGUUAAAGAACCCAGAAUGUCUGAAGCACUGCAGGGCACACUUACCCCAGUUAAAGCUGCAACUGAGAGUUCUGAGAAAAUCCUGGACUUAGCCUGAAAAUUUGAACAAGCACACCUUAAACGUCCCUUCUCUUUGCUUUCUGCUGUAAUACAGCCCUCCAUCCACAGCUGCUCCUUCACAACUGAGCCUGCCAAGAACUCAAGAAACCAACACUUUUUCUGUAAUGUGAGUUUGUUUCUCUGCCAUUAGCACAGCUGCAAGACACCUGCAAUCUUGAGCUUAUACCACAGUAAGGGCUGAGCGGGGAAAGCGUGUGAGCAGCAUGUACAUAAGCUUGAUUAACACUUCCACGACAUUCUUCCUAGUUGGUAUUGGUUAUUUCUGACUGGGAGUUAUGUAUUUAAAUAUUAUUUACUGUUUCAUAUAUACAGCUUUUUAUGACAACUGAAGCUGACAUAAUAAUUGAUUGUACUAUAAAAUGGCACUAUGUACCUGGAAAGUACAUAAUACAACCAUUUUAAAGAGAGUAGUCAUUUUUAAGAAUUUACGUUUAAAGUUGGAUCAUCAUUUUAUCCUGAAAAAUGAACAAUACCACUGAAUUUUUAAAAACAUAGAAUUAAAAUGACAUUUUU
This is a long non-coding RNA of Xiphophorus couchianus (Monterrey platyfish), 2608 nucleotides long. RefSeq lists it as uncharacterized. Lineage: Eukaryota; Metazoa; Chordata; Actinopteri; Cyprinodontiformes; Poeciliidae. The transcript is spliced from 4 exons. The record is from RefSeq and is a predicted model, not a curated record.